Molecule: long non-coding RNA, 766 nt
Organism: Sarcophilus harrisii (Tasmanian devil)
Lineage: Eukaryota; Metazoa; Chordata; Mammalia; Dasyuromorphia; Dasyuridae
Exons: 3
Source: RefSeq, a predicted model, not a curated record
GAGGGUGGGGGACCGAGUGGGAGGAAAUAAUCCAGAAAUCCCCCGGACUCGGAGCAUCGCCCGCCUGCUGCCGGCCGCCCGCUCUGGGAUACGCGACUGGGGAAGGUGCGGAGCCGCCCUGCCGCGGGGAGGGAGAGACCCCGGCCCGGUCCCCCCCAGCUCAGCGACCGCUGCGUCCCCCCAGAGGGAACAAGCGUGGUCCCGGAGCCGAGAACUAACGGGAGCCUUCCAGGGGAUGCUAAGAUGCUGGCCGUGCCGGAGUCCUGGAUGCACAGUCUGCAAAUAAGCUUCUUUUCAUAAUGCACUGAAAAGUGGAGGUGGAACAUUUAAUAACUCAUGCAAAGAAUCAUAUAUGUUUACAUUUAAUCAAAUGAUAUUGAUGCAGGCUCUCCAGAGCCAGAAGAACUGAGCCAGCUUCUGUUAGAAUCCUUACAAGGUGCUAAGUCAGUGGAAUUGAUAGAGACAAUGGUUGUUUAGCAGGGUGCUUAACAGUUUUCUAGAUGUACUUAGUACUUAUUAGAGUUCACACCUUUAAGAGAGCAUAUCUAAGCUAGGAGCCUCAACCAGGAUGCACUUCGGGAGAUUCAAAAGUCAGGAUUCAGUACAGGAGAUUCACAAGUCAGAGAUGGUAGUCAGGCAGAACGAAGGAAGACAGAGAAGUGAUGGCAGGCUGUCCUGUAGAGAACACUGGACUCAAGAUCCAGAAGGCCUCCAGAAAACUAGCCGACCCCCAGGUGAAGGAAAGAGAAAAUAAAGGAUUUGGCCU